Vicia faba (fava bean) is the source of this 207-nucleotide non-coding RNA. Lineage: Eukaryota; Viridiplantae; Streptophyta; Magnoliopsida; Fabales; Fabaceae. The record is from the annotation of a GenBank genome assembly.
AUGUGGCAAAUUUUUGUUUUUGUAAAAAAAUUCGAUGGAGAAAGAAGUAAAAUUAGGAACUACUGUGCUCAAUCAUUAAUGUCUUUGAGAGUCCUUUUUUGUGAUUAUAAGUUGGAUUUUUUCCUUGGUUAUUGGAAGUUAACUUUUUUUACUCAUUUAAAAUUGACAGAAAUUGAUAUAAUUAAUGUCUUUGUUAGCUAUUUGUAG